UAGGGAAUCUUCGGCAAUGGACGAAAGUCUGACCGAGCAACGCCGCGUGAGUGAAGAAGGUUUUCGGAUCGUAAAACUCUGUUGUUAGAGAAGAACAAGGACGUUAGUAACUGAACGUCCCCUGACGGUAUCUAACCAGAAAGCCACGGCUAACUACGUGCCAGCAGCCGCGGUAAUACGUAGGUGGCAAGCGUUGUCCGGAUUUAUUGGGCGUAAAGCGAGCGCAGGCGGUUUCUUAAGUCUGAUGUGAAAGCCCCCGGCUCAACCGGGGAGGGUCAUUGGAAACUGGGAGACUUGAGUGCAGAAGAGGAGGGUGGAAUUCCAUGUGUAGCGGGGAAAUGCGUAGAUAUAUGGAGGAACACCAGUGGCGAAGGCGGCUCUCUGGUCUGUCACUGACGCUGAGGCUCGAAAGCGUGGGGAGCAAACAGG
This 429-nucleotide ribosomal RNA is filed under the name Gemmatimonadota bacterium. RNAcentral describes it as "Gemmatimonadetes bacterium partial 16S ribosomal RNA". It matches the Rfam family "Bacterial small subunit ribosomal RNA", at positions 355 to 776 of the family's 1533-position model. Lineage: Bacteria; Pseudomonadati; Gemmatimonadota. The record is from RNAcentral.